Molecule: long non-coding RNA, 410 nt
Filed under: Androctonus crassicauda
Lineage: Eukaryota; Metazoa; Arthropoda; Arachnida; Scorpiones; Buthidae
Source: RNAcentral
AAAACCUUUAUUUAUAAAAUAAGAUUUAGAUGAUAAAAAUCUUUUUGAUUAAAAUGUUAUAUGAAGAGGUCUGUAUUAGAAAAAUUUCAAGAUAAAACUGUUCCACCAAGUGAUUGUAUAAUAAGCAUUAUUAUAGCCCCAACAAUUCCAGAUUUCUCAAGUGUGUCCAUGUCUAGCUCAAUGAUGCUCAUCAUUCAACCUUCCAACAAUUUUCAUUGUGCUUAUUGGCCAAUUCUUGAUGUCCAACAAGCACAGUGGAAUAGAAAUAGCAUUCACCAUAUUGAUUCCUUUUACAGAUUCAACAAGAUAAAUUAACCAUUUGAAUAUGAUUUAAGAACUGCUUUAAGAAAAUUUUAUUUGAAUAAUAGAAAUUAGUUAAUAUAAAAAGAUGAUACAUGAUGAACUCUGAG